GCGGGAAUAGCUCAGUUGGUAGAGCACGACCUUGCCAAGGUCGGGGUCGCGAGUUCGAGUCUCGUUUUCGGGG
Molecule: transfer RNA, 73 nt
Filed under: Pseudomonas aeruginosa 148
Lineage: Bacteria; Pseudomonadati; Pseudomonadota; Gammaproteobacteria; Pseudomonadales; Pseudomonadaceae
Description: tRNA-Gly
Rfam family: tRNA
About the family: Transfer RNA (tRNA) molecules are approximately 80 nucleotides in length. Their secondary structure includes four short double-helical elements and three loops (D, anti-codon, and T loops). Further hydrogen bonds mediate the characteristic L-shaped molecular structure. tRNAs have two regions of fundamental functional importance: the anti-codon, which is responsible for specific mRNA codon recognition, and the 3' end, to which the tRNAs corresponding amino acid is attached (by aminoacyl-tRNA synthetases). tRNAs cope with the degeneracy of the genetic code in two manners: having more than one tRNA (with a specific anti-codon) for a particular amino acid; and 'wobble' base-pairing, i.e. permitting non-standard base-pairing at the 3rd anti-codon position.
Source: RNAcentral